CUGCCUGGCCUCUUGCUUGUGUCUGCUGGAUGCAUGUGACCUCUCAGCAAUAGAAUGGGCAUCUGAUAGGGUUGAGACCGUGCUGGGCCCAUACUUUCACUUUGGUGCCUUGGCAAAGCAUGAACUAUAUUAACAUAUACUUGGAAUAACUGAAAUUACACUGAAGCUCCCAUGAAAACUGAAUGCAAAAUCUAUUUCCAUAGCCAGCAAAGCUCACCAGCAUCCCUUUGACUAAGGAGCUGGGAGGUACCCCAAGUACCUUACAGUGCACUUCUCAGUGUAAAGAGCCAUCCAUGAGCAAAAGCUUUAAAGAAGCUUGGGAUCAAAGCAUUAAGAACAGAAUAGGCAUCUUCAUGAGCACACCAUUGAUAAACAGCAUUUCUGAAGUCUGCAAGGAAAACAUUGCACCCGCAGCCCUCUGUGUUGCAAUCUGGUCACCACCCGUCGCUCGAUAGAAACAGAGGCUGCUGUGGGUGUGACAGGUUAUGGAUUACAGAUGUCACUGAUGGAUUCCAGCCCGAAUGGUUCUGUGAUUCUGGAGAUAAGUUCUUAUCCUGUUGUUCAGGUGCACCCACGAAUAUCCUCCAAUAGAUAUCUUCCCUUCUGCUGUGUCUUUCUGUGACAGCCCUUCACUAGUUCACCUGGCAUCACUUGUACAACACCAGUAUCCAUUGACUGGGACAGAGCUUGUCCAUUUUAACAGCACCAGCAUUGCCUUUCGCUCCAGUCCACACCCACCCCCCCACUAAGCAGCACCAGCCGCUUUCCCUACUGCCCAACAGCCAGCAGCAGACAAGAAGUUUACAUUUUUCAAGAGGAUGCCAAAAGCAGCCAUUUCCUGUGCUCUUAUUACCCAGAGACCUCACGCAGCAGCCAGGCAGCUCUAUGGGUCAGGGCACCCUGCCCCUGCCUUCCAAACCCCAGCACUCCUCUCUGCUCCUGGGAUUCCUUGGAGUGCAAAGACCUCAUUAUCCAAGGGAGGGAGGAGGAAUAAUGAAGUCUUCAUGCUUUAAGACUUUGUGCAGAGAACGCAGCAAGUGAUGCUGAUAAUUGUUUCAGAGCAAGUUCUGCUUCGCUGGGGUUAUUGGAAUCAGCUCCCUCAGCUUUGUUUUGCCAGCUGUUGCAAGAGAAGCCUCCCUGAGCUAGGUAGCUCCAAGGCAUGGAAACGAAUAACACAGAAAGCUUCUCAGGACCUUGCAAAGGCUUUCUAAUGUUUUUUCAAGAUGUCUCUUGGAAAGCCACGUGGGAAAAGAUGAUUGAGAAGAAGCCCCUGACCAAGGGUGAUGCUGAGAACAUCAGCCAUUCCCUGGAUGCCAGCACUCCCUGCCCUUGAGCCCCUGGGCAGGAUGAGAUGCACCCUUCUUGCUCCCAGCCCCUGUUCCCCAGGGAAGAGCCGCAAAGAGCUGCUGCUUUGGGAUAGCAUCAGGAGGAAGCCAUCCCCAUCCUCUGGCUGCAGAGAACAGCCUGAGUUUUGCCUUUAUGAGCAUUUUCCAGACCUUCCGUCAUUGUUUUCAUGUGUUUGGUUUUAUUACACACGAUAUAAAUAUAGCACGGCUCUUCCUUUGC
This is a non-coding RNA of Coturnix japonica (Japanese quail), 1566 nucleotides long. The record is from RefSeq and is a predicted model, not a curated record. NCBI's taxonomy places the organism in Eukaryota, Metazoa, Chordata, Aves, Galliformes, Phasianidae.